UACAAUACUUGCUUUUGUCGUAGCCUUUGCACAUCGGCUGUUGGGUUGCUAAGAGGGACACCUGAAGCCCCGAGGAAGAACCGGUCCUUGUCGUCUCUAUCUGGAGCUUGGGCCUUUAAAUAUUCUGGCCGGAUAUGAACAAACUCCUUUGGACAGCGUUACAGUGACUCCGUCUGCCUCUGGCACUCUGUCGUUCCACUCCU
Carassius auratus (goldfish) is the source of this 203-nucleotide long non-coding RNA. RefSeq lists it as uncharacterized. NCBI's taxonomy places the organism in Eukaryota, Metazoa, Chordata, Actinopteri, Cypriniformes, Cyprinidae. The transcript has 2 exons. The record is from RefSeq and is a predicted model, not a curated record.